RNAcentral lists this ribosomal RNA (447 nucleotides) under uncultured Shewanellaceae bacterium. Its description in RNAcentral is "bacterial SSU rRNA". It matches the Rfam family "Bacterial small subunit ribosomal RNA", at positions 1083 to 1532 of the family's 1533-position model. The record is from RNAcentral. Lineage: Bacteria; Pseudomonadati; Pseudomonadota; Gammaproteobacteria; Alteromonadales; Shewanellaceae.
AGUCGCACGAGCGCACCCCUAUCCUUAUUUGCCAGCACGNUAAUGGUGGGAACUCUAGGGAGACUGCCGGUGAUAAACCGGAGGAAGGUGGGGACGACGUCAAGUCAUCAUGGCCCUUACGAGUAGGGCUACACACGUGCUACAAUGGCGUAUACAGAGGGUUGCAAAGCCGCGAGGUGGAGCUAAUCUCACAAAGUACGUCGUAGUCCGGAUCGGAGUCUGCAACUCGACUCCGUGAAGUCGGAAUCGCUAGUAAUCGUGGAUCAGAAUGCCACGGUGAAUACGUUCCCGGGCCUUGUACACACCGCCCGUCACACCAUGGGAGUGGGCUGCAAAAGAAGUGGGUAGUUUAACCUUCGGGAGAACGCUCACCACUUUGUGGUUCAUGACUGGGGUGAAGUCGUAACAAGGUAGCCCUAGGGGAACCUGGGGCUGGAUCACCUCCUU